Molecule: ribosomal RNA, 206 nt
Filed under: uncultured bacterium
Lineage: Bacteria
Description: partial 16S ribosomal RNA
Rfam family: Bacterial small subunit ribosomal RNA
Source: RNAcentral
UGUGUAGGUGGUGCUCUAAGUCUGUCGUGAAAUCCCCCGGCUUAACUGGGAGGGUGCGGCGGAAACUGGGGCGCUCGAGUAUGGGAGAGGAAAGCGGAAUUCCUGGUGUAGCGGUGAAAUGCGUAGAUAUCAGGAGGAACACCUGUGGUGUAGACAGCUUUCUGGACCAUUACUGGCACUGAGACACGAAAGCGUGGUAGCAAACA